RNAcentral lists this ribosomal RNA (479 nucleotides) under uncultured bacterium. RNAcentral describes it as "bacterial SSU rRNA". It matches the Rfam family "Bacterial small subunit ribosomal RNA", at positions 627 to 1102 of the family's 1533-position model. The record is from RNAcentral.
UUGAAACUGAAAUUCUUGAGUGAAGUAGAGGCAAGCGGAAUUCCUAGUGUAGCGGUGAAAUGCGUAGAUAUUAGGAGGAACACCAGUGGCGAAGGCGGCUUGCUGGACGACAACUGACGCUGAGGCGCGAAAGCGUGGGGAGCAAACAGGAUUAGAUACCCUGGUAGUCCACGCUGUAAACGAUGAAUACUAGGUGUGGGAGGACUGACCCCUUCCGUGCCGCAGUUAACACAAUAAGUAUUCCACCUGGGGAGUACGACCGCAAGGUUGAAAUUCAAAGGAAUUGACGGGGGCCCGCACAAGCAGUGGAUUAUGUGGUUUAAUUCGACGCAACGCGAAGAACCUUGACCAGGACUUGACAUCCAACUAACGAAGUAGAGAUACAUUAGUGCCCUUCGGGGAAAGUUGAGACAGGUGGUGCAUGGUUGUCGUCAGCUCGUGUCGUGAGAUGUUGGGUUAAGUCCCGCAACGAGCGCAAC